UCAGGACGAACGCUGGCGGCGUGCCUAAUACAUGCAAGUCGAACGGUCUUUCUAUGGAAGCUUGCUUCCGCUGAGAAGAUAGUGGCGAACGGGUGAGUAACACGUGGGUAACCUGCCCAUAAGAGGGGGAUAACAUCCGGAAACGGGUGCUAAUACCGCAUAGUUUUCUUGAUCGCAUGAUCGGGAAAGAAAAGACGGCCUUUGUGCUGUCGCUUAUGGAUGGACCCGCGGCGUAUUAGUUAGUUGGUGAGGUAACGGCUCACCAAGACGAUGAUACGUAGCCGACCUGAGAGGGUGAUCGGCCACAUUGGGACUGAGACACGGCCCAAACUCCUACGGGAGGCAGCAGUAGGGAAUCUUCCGCAAUGGACGAAAGUCUGACGGAGCAACGCCGCGUGAGUGAAGAAAACGGUUUUCGGAUCGUAAAACUCUGUUGUCAGAGAAGAACAAGUUGGAGAGUAACUGCUCCAGCCUUGACGGUAUCUGACCAGAAAGCCACGGCUAACUACGUGCCAGCAGCCGC
This 523-nucleotide ribosomal RNA is filed under the name uncultured bacterium. Its description in RNAcentral is "bacterial SSU rRNA". It matches the Rfam family "Bacterial small subunit ribosomal RNA", at positions 24 to 518 of the family's 1533-position model. The record is from RNAcentral.